Molecule: ribosomal RNA, 523 nt
Filed under: uncultured fungus
Lineage: Eukaryota; Fungi
Description: eukaryotic LSU rRNA
Rfam family: 5.8S ribosomal RNA (bases 194-339)
Source: RNAcentral
CUUGGUCAUUUAGAGGAAGUAAAAGUCGUAACAAGGUUUCCGUAGGUGAACCUGCGGAAGGAUCAUUACAAAUCAUUGUUGUGUUGUUGGGCCGGUUUGGUUUGGUAGGUUUUAUAUCUGCCAAGCCAUCUACUCAACAUCAACACUUGCGCGUGUUGUGUUUGACAGAGUAAAUUACUUUAUAAUUAUUGACAACUUUUAACAAUGGAUCUCUUGGCUCUUGCAACGAUGAAGAACGCAGUUAUGUGCGAUAUCUAGUGCGAUUUGCAUGAAUCUGUGAGUCAUCGAGUUUUUGAACGCAACUUGCGCCCAGCAAUGGGCAUGUCUGUUCGAGUACCACAAUAAAAAAAUGUUUUAUACGAUUUGAUUAAGCCAAUGGCUUGAUCUAAAAGAGUGUUUUCUCUUGGGAAAAGAGUUCCACGCUAGAGACGCAAGUCUUCUUGGACCCUCCUCCCCUCUAAACCUUUGGUCUCGAAUCAGGCAAGAUUACCCGCUGAACUUAAGCAUAUCAAUAAGCGGAGGA